Molecule: ribosomal RNA, 322 nt
Filed under: uncultured eukaryote
Lineage: Eukaryota
Description: partial 18S ribosomal RNA
Rfam family: Eukaryotic small subunit ribosomal RNA
Source: RNAcentral
CCCUUAGAUGUUCUGGGCCGCACGCGUGCUACACUGAGUGGAUCAGCGGGUCAGGUUGCGCGAAAGCGUUUCCUAAUCUUUAAAUCCGCUCGUGAUGGGGAUUGACGGUUGCAAUUUUCUGUCAUGAACGAGGAAUACCUUGUAAGCGCGGGUCAUCAUCCCGCGCUGAAUACGUCCCUGCCCUUUGUACACACCGCCCGUCGCUCCUACCGAUUGAGUGGUCCGGUGAGGCUUUGGGAUCUGAGCGGAAAGAGCGUUGCGCUGUUUCUGCUCGGAAAACUCAGUCGAACCUUAUCAUUUAGAGGAAGGAGAAGUCGUAACA